This 1771-nucleotide long non-coding RNA is filed under the name Homo sapiens (human). Its description in RNAcentral is "PREDICTED lncRNA (TCONS_00242797)". The record is from RNAcentral. Lineage: Eukaryota; Metazoa; Chordata; Mammalia; Primates; Hominidae.
AUUUCCCUGUGUCCUUUCCUAUGGCUGUGGUUGGAGAGACGUAGAGAGAGGCUGCUGCGAAGUCACAAUCCAGCCACACGGCAUUGAUCCUGUCAUGGCUGGUGUGGUUGUGUCCACACGUGACCUGAACAUCCUUCCCACUCAGUACCAAAUACAGUCAAUUCUGUGGCUUGAUGGUGCGUGGACAUAACAUUCAGAUAUCGCCCAUGAUGAGGAAACAGAAGCUGGGAUAUGUGAGUAAACAUUUCCAAGGUCCUGCAGCUAAUCAAUGGUUGACAACUUCUUUCCUCUGCCUAUGUUGCCAUCCAUGUCAUGGUUUGUGUCAAGACUCUAGGAGAAGUCUACCAUCAGCACCACAGCUACUGUGCACAAAUCCAGAAUGCCAGACUGAAGUCAGAAGGAAAGAUCCUUUAUAUAUUGAAAGAAGAAAGUAGAACCAUUUCUGGGUCCCAGCUGUGGGAAGAGCUCCUGUGGCUGUGAAUUCUGACUUCUGGGUCUUGGCACAAGGUGUGGCCAGCAAGCUAAGCUGUCCUGAGGGUGUGCAGGGCCAGGGGCUGAAGACAGUGUUGGAGCAUCCACAGACUGGUUUGUCUCAAGAAGCAUGUUACUAAAUAUGAAAUAGCAAAAUCUGCAAGUGGGUUUACUUUUCCCCCAUAGAUUAGAAUGGAUUCAAUAUUAUCUCUUUAUUAGCGUCACUUUUAAUCACUUGUAUAACAAGUAGGACAGAAAGGUGGCUUGAAAGUCAAUCAUGUGAGAAUUCCAGAUAAAUUGACUUUGCUCACAACAAUCUGUUAUUCAUGUGACUAUCAACUGUCAUGUGUGCUGGGGCAAAAAAAGAAGAUAAGGAUUCACUGGUAUCAGAUAGUUCCAGGAGGGGAAACCCAGGAUUGAACUUUUUCAGCCUUCUAUGGUAAAAUUUCCUGCUCUGUCGGUGCGCCAAAGCUUUUUUCAGUUUCCUAAACUCCCAUAUUCAAGAAGAUAAGCUAUUUUCUCUUCUUUCUCAUCCUUCCUUGACAAAGCAAAGCAUAUUUUCAUUGUCUACUCUGUGUCAUCCAUGCUUGGUUCCUGUCCUCAAAGAGCUUAUAGUUCAAAUAAAGGAGAGGGAGCAUUUUACAAGGGAAUUAAAGGUAAAAGAUUCUGAAAGCCAGUUUAAAAAGUCGUGAGGGAGGGGUCUGGGAGAAGCUGAGCAGGGGUGAAAGGGUACGAAACAUUAUGGAAGGAGAACAGGGGAGCACCCUGACUACUGGGUGGAAACACCAAUCAGUGGGUAGAAACCACACAGUGGUAACACUGAUCAGUGGGUAGAAAACAAUGACAGCAGGUAUAUGAGGCAUGGAACACUUGGCUUAUUGUAAAGUUUUCAAAAUAUGCAGUCCUUUCUAUCCACCAGGGGUUGGGAGUUGUCUUUGUAUAUCAACCGUGGAAGGGCUGUUUUGGUUCAUCAUUCUGUGGUCUACCUGGGUAGACCUGAUGCAGCCGUGUUUCUGAGGAAAGGAAGAACAGCUUUUGUUUUGUGAUAUGUAAUGGUAGAUGUAGUGCCAUGGAAUGAUGCAGAUUUCAUUCAGAUAUUCUUGGAUCUUGGCCCCAGGACUCACUCAUUCUUCCCUAUAUGAGCAUUGGUAGUUACAGGUUUUAUCCUUCCUUUAAUUGUAAGUCUUUUGAAGCCAAAAACUGUAUCCAAUUUGUCACUGUCUCCUAACAGUACUUAGCAGUGUCUGAUGCAUCAUAGGGAGUUUGUAAAUGUUUGGAUAAAUAAAGGGAAAACAAAAAC